RNAcentral lists this ribosomal RNA (563 nucleotides) under uncultured bacterium. RNAcentral's name for it is "partial 16S ribosomal RNA". It matches the Rfam family "Bacterial small subunit ribosomal RNA", at positions 355 to 911 of the family's 1533-position model. The record is from RNAcentral.
UGGGGAAUUUUGGACAAUGGGGGAAACCCUGAUCCAGCCAUCCCGCGUGUGCGAUGAAGGCCUUCGGGUUGUAAAGCACUUUUGGCAGGAAAGAAACGUCGCGGGUUAAUACCCCGCGAAACUGACGGUACCUGCAGAAUAAGCACCGGCUAACUACGUGCCAGCAGCCGCGGUAAUACGUAGGGUGCAAGCGUUAAUCGGAAUUAUUGGGCGUAAAGCGUGCGCAGGCGGUUCGGAAAGAAAGAUGUGAAAUCCCAGAGCUUAACUUUGGAACUGCAUUUUUAACUACCGGGCUAGAGUGUGUCAGAGGGAGGUGGAAUUCCGCGUGUAGCAGUGAAAUGCGUAGAUAUGCGGAGGAACACCGAUGGCGAAGGCAGCCUCCUGGGAUAACACUGACGCUCAUGCACGAAAGCGUGGGGAGCAAACAGGAUUAGAUACCCUGGUAGUCCACGCCCUAAACGAUGUCAACUAGCUGUUGGGGCCUUCGGGCCUUGGUAGCGCAGCUAACGCGUGAAGUUGACCGCCUGGGGAGUACGGUCGCAAGAUUAAAACUCAAAGGAAUU